GAUGUAUAAAUAGUAUUUUUCAAAAAAGUUUGGAAUAAUUGACUAUAUAUCUCUUAUGACUUUUGAAAUAUCUUAUUUAUUAUUUAUUAUUUAUUUUAGAUAUAUCACUCAUAUAAUUUUUCGUUAUUUAAAAAUAUCCCUGUCGUUAGUAUCCGUUAAGUCAUGUCGAGUUAAAUUUCUACCAUAGUUAAAAAUAAUAGUUAAAAUAUCUAUUUUGUCUCUAAUUUAAUGGCAAAUAAGAAAAAUUUGGGUGAUGGUAGAAUGAUAUAUUUGAAAAGUCAAAAAAUCAAAAUACUUCUUUUACCCAAAACUUAAGGAUAAAUAAGAAAAAUUGAUAAUAAUAGAAUGAUAUAUUUUAAAGGGCAAAUUGAUAAUUUUACAGAGAUAACGGCUGUUUCUAAUUAUUUACUAACAUAAUUUAACUCUAAAAAUAUAUUUAAAAAAUUUUGGAAUAUUAAAAAGAUAUUUAUAAUAUUAGACUUCUAAAAUUUAUAUAAGAAAGUCGAAAAUUUUUAAAAGUAUAUAAGUAAUUG
Molecule: long non-coding RNA, 533 nt
Filed under: Ananas comosus (pineapple)
Lineage: Eukaryota; Viridiplantae; Streptophyta; Magnoliopsida; Poales; Bromeliaceae
Description: long non-coding RNA (ACOM_LNC006124)
Source: RNAcentral